Long non-coding RNA from Cydia splendana, 416 nucleotides. RefSeq lists it as uncharacterized. The record is from RefSeq and is a predicted model, not a curated record. NCBI's taxonomy places the organism in Eukaryota, Metazoa, Arthropoda, Insecta, Lepidoptera, Tortricidae. The transcript has 3 exons.
CCGCUUUGAGCUGUGCGUCAGUGUACGUGAAGCUGACUGCCGAGAGUGCCGAGCAAGUGCAGCAGAGUGCAUAUAAAUACAACGAAAUAAGUGUUUAUACUCCAAUUGUAUUGUAUUCUCCAGCAAAGUCGUAAUUCUAUUUUAUAAAUUGGCCAAAGUUGUAGAUAUGGGAGGAAAUAACGAUCAAAACGAAAAAAUCAAGACAGGUGCAACCGUAGGUGCAGUGGCGGGUACAGUUGCCGGGGCGGCGGCGCUCGGGAGCUGUUUGGGUCCGCCGGGGGCAGUGCUUGGGGGCCUCUGGGGCUUAGGGCUGGGCAUGGCUUCAGGCGGCGCCAUGGGCUCCUACGCUGGCAGAAAGAAAUGAAAAUAAACAUAGCGUUGUUCUAGUGCAGUAGAUGACGGAGGCGAUCAGCAAA